CAGCAGCCGCGGGAAUACGUAGGUGGCAAGCGUUGUCCGGAAUUAUUGGGCGUAAAGGGCUCGCAGGCGGUUUCUUAAGUCUGAUGUGAAAGCCCCCGGCUCAACCGGGGAGGGUCAUUGGAAACUGGGAAACUUGAGUGCAGAAGAGGAGAGUGGAAUUCCACGUGUAGCGGUGAAAUGCGUAGAGAUGUGGAGGAACACCAGUGGCGAAGGCGACUCUCUGGUCUGUAACUGACGCUGAGAAGCGAAAGCGUGGGGAGCGAACAGGAUUAGAUACCCCUGUAGUCCCUGUCUCUUAUAC
This 301-nucleotide ribosomal RNA is filed under the name uncultured bacterium. RNAcentral describes it as "partial 16S ribosomal RNA". It matches the Rfam family "Bacterial small subunit ribosomal RNA", at positions 509 to 807 of the family's 1533-position model. The record is from RNAcentral.